AAUCUGAUUGAAAGACUUAAACAGUUAACACCAACUAUAGCUAAAAUUCUAAUUAAUUUUCAUGGGAAAAGCUAAUUACUUUAACAAGAGGGGCUAGGCCCAACACCAAUAAAUUGGUAGCCCAAUAGGAAAGAAACAACAUUUAAUAGGAACAACAGGAUUGGGCCCCCAAGAUCAAGCCUAGAUCCGAACAAGGACCAUUUCAAUUUUAAAGAAAUUCUUAACUCG
Molecule: long non-coding RNA, 228 nt
Filed under: Nicotiana benthamiana
Lineage: Eukaryota; Viridiplantae; Streptophyta; Magnoliopsida; Solanales; Solanaceae
Description: long non-coding RNA (NBEN_LNC037924)
Source: RNAcentral